UCAAACCCCAAGCAGUAUACCAUAGCCAUCAUAGGACAGGCCCUAUGGUGGCAAAGGUAAACCAAUGCUAGUCACUAGCAUAAAAAAGCCAAUAGAUAACUAAAAAACAACAAUGAAUCAACCAACAGAUUGGCUUGAAAUCAGUCAUUACAAAACAGCAGCAGCCAAAACCUGUAACAAGGAGCAGAUGCAGAAAGAAACAGCAAGGCCCCAACCAUAAG
This 221-nucleotide long non-coding RNA is filed under the name Panax ginseng (ginseng). Its description in RNAcentral is "long non-coding RNA (PGIN_LNC004043)". Lineage: Eukaryota; Viridiplantae; Streptophyta; Magnoliopsida; Apiales; Araliaceae. The record is from RNAcentral.